This 43324-nucleotide long non-coding RNA is filed under the name Medicago truncatula (barrel medic). Its description in RNAcentral is "long non-coding RNA (MTRU_LNC006153)". Lineage: Eukaryota; Viridiplantae; Streptophyta; Magnoliopsida; Fabales; Fabaceae. The record is from RNAcentral.
ACGGAUCUUCAAUUAUCAAAUGAAGAGUUAAAUUGAAAAAUAACACAAAGAUUGAAUAGAUGAAUUUUCUAGAGAUCACCGGGAAAAUACUCAAGGCUCCAUACUACGAAGGAGGUUAUUAUUUAGACAAACCAGGAUGCAGAAAAAGCAUGUUCGCAGUUCAUUUAUUUCGACAAACCACGCUGCAGAAAAGCAUUUUCAAAAUCAAUUUGUAUGUCUUGUAAUCAAAGUCAGAUUAUAAACAAUAAAAAUGGCUCAUUGAAGAAAUUUGAUUUAUCUUGAACCAUUCCCCGUACUUAUAUCUUUGAACCAAGAAUAUGUUGACCUCAGCUGCAAAAUCAAUAAAGAUUUAAACAAAAAGGAUUCACUAUCUUUCAUAUUUAUGAACCAAGGAGAAAAGGUUCUAUGCUAUGUAGGAGGUUAAUUUUUGACAAAACCAAGCUGAAAAAGGAAGUCAUUGAUGUCUUGCAUUAAAAUUAAUAAACAAUAAUCACCAAAAUCAAAACCUCAUAAACAUGAAANAAACAAUGAUCACCAAAAUCAAAACCUCAUAAACAUGAAACCAGAAAGGAAAAAGAAUACAAAACAUGAAGAUCAAAUAAGAGCAAGAAAGAAAGAACCAGAAGAAAUCGUGUUUUCAUAGAUAUUUCUCCUGAAACACCAAAAAGAUCACCAAAUCAAAAAAUCAACUGAAACUGAUUUAAUAAUACAUAAAAAACAAUGAAGAAAUUUUGAAAACAAAAAUAAUUUAACAGACAUCACCAAAUCAAAUCCAUGCUUAGUUUGCAAACUACCCACCACGCUGCAGAAUAAUUAAGAAUAUGUUCAAUAUUCAAAUUGUAUGCUUUCCAAUCAAAUUAAAAUAAUUAAUUAUCAACUAAAGAAAUUUGAUUUAUCUAACUGGAGCCUUUCUUGUACCUUGUAUCAAGAGGUUUCACUGCAAAACCGAUAAAUGAUCUCUCGAUUAUCAAAAUGAAUAAUUAAUUAUAUAAAAAAUUUAAGAAUUUUAAGAAAUUUUUAUGUAAAAGAAGAGUCGAGAGAAGUGUGAUUGUGUGAAAAUGUUGGAAAGUAUAUCUUAACAAUCACUGAAAUUAAGUAAUCACAGAUCAAAGAAACAAGAAAGUAAAACACCAAAUCAAGCAUUCUCUGAAUUGACAUAGAAAGAUAGAACCAAAAAGAUUUACUAGAUAUCACCAAAUCAAAUCUAGAGGCUCCAUGCUAUGAAUAAAGAACAUUUUUAAUACUCUGACAAACCACGCUGCAGAAAUGGAUAAAGGACUCAUUGAAGAAAAAUAAUUAUCUAUCAAGAGCAGUACAACGGAUAAAUGGAUCUUCGAUUAUCAAAGAAGAGUUAUAUCGAAAAAUAAUACUCAUUAACUAAUCGUAAAAGAAGAUUCAAGAAAAGUACGAGAGUGUGAAAUAUAUCCUCUCAGAAGCAUUGAACGGAAAAUUUACUAGAUAGAGAUCACCAGAAAAUUCUCAAGCCUCCAUACUCAGGAGGUUAAUAAUUAGACAAACCAAGCUGCAGAAAAAGCAAGAUCACGGUUCAAUUCUUCUCAUAAUCUAAAACUUGAAAUUAAAAACAAUAAAGAAUGAAUCAUUGAAGAAAUUCGAUUUAUCUAUUUGAAGCCAAUCUCCAUUCAUAUCCGUUGUGUAAAGAAUCACAAAAUGUUUAUAGUUUUUCCGGAUUCCGCCACCUGCUGCAAAUUAAACAUAUAUCUCCAUUAUCUACUUAUGAUAGAAGAAGAUCAAAAGACCCAAGCGAAAAGAUAAACUGCAGACUCCUGAUACAACAUUAUAAAAACUGCAACACUAUCCCAUCACACCAUCAGAGCACAACUAUCCCAUCACACCAUCAGAGCACAACUAUCCCAUCCCAACACAAAAUGAAACCAGUUUUAUUACCAAGGUUGAGUGAAAAGUAGGAUGUAUGACCAGCUUUAUUCCAAGUCUGAACGGAAGUAAUAAACCUAAAUGACAGAUUACAUCAAAGCAGUCACAAUUUCUCCAGAAUUGUGUAAACUAUCACGGUCAGAAUACAUCAAAAACCUGAAUGUAAGGAAAUCAGAGUAAGGCUGAACUUCUAAGAUAUAAACAAGAGGAAGAUCGAUAGAACCAGAAUAUGUUUAAAAAAGAUCACACUUCUCCUGCGACACGGAAGAAUAAACAACAAAUAAAGAUAUAUAUAUGUUGAUAAAAGAAAUUUUUAAAAUGAAAAGAAUUAAAUAGUUAUCACCAAAUCAAAAUGCUAGGUUCCAUGCCACGAAGCAGGUUAUUAGUGUGACAAACCAUGCUGCAGGAAAACAUGUUCAAAAUUCAAUUCGUAUGUCUUGCAAUUGAAGCCCAGAAAUUAAAAUAAUAAACAAUGGCUCAAUGAAGAAAUUUGAUUUUUAUCUAUCGGGGCUGUUGUUCUUUUCCGGUGUAUGAAACGUUCUAGAUAAUGAAGAUUUCACAGACUGCAAAAGAUGGAUAAAUGCAUGUCACAGAGCAAACAAUAUGGCCACCUAGUUAAAAAAUCAAGUAACAAAAGAAGGUAUGAACAAGAAUAAACAAACAAACCUCAUAAUCAAGAAAUCAAAAGCAUAUCUUCUCAUGUAACACCAUCAAGAAAUCAAAAUCAUAUCCUCUUAAUACCAGGAAGUAAAUUAACAAUUUAACAUUCAAGAAACAUUUGUUCUUAGAAUCAACAAUGUAAGAUUGAAACAAAAAGGAUUUACUAGAUAUCACCAAAUCAAAACUUCAGGCUCUAUGCUGUGAAGGAUAUUAUUAUUUUGACAAACCAAACUGCAGUCUAAACCAACAAAAACAAAUAAUCAACCAGACAAAUCAUGAAACCGAAAGAAUCAAUCAAAAAUGAAUAAAGAAUGCAAAACAUGAAGACCAAACAAGAGGAAGAUACAUAUCACUAGAAGAAGUCGUAUGUUACAAAAUUACUUUUCCUGCAAGACCAAAGAGGGUAAAAACAGGUCAAGAAAUACAUGAUCUCAGAGAAUAAAGAAUUUUAAAAAAUGAAAAGAAUUUAUUACAGAUCACCAAAUCAAAACGCUAGGCUCCAUGCAUCAAGCAGGUAAUAGUUUAACAAACCACGCUGCAAGAAAACAUGUUGAAAAUUCAAUUUGCAUGUCUUGCAGUAAAAACCCAGAAAUUAAAGUAAUAAAGAACAAAUCAUUGAAUAAAUUGAUUUAUCUAUCUGGAGCCAUUCCGUAUGUUGUAUCAAGCCGUUCUAGUUAAUAAGACUUCUCAGCUUGCUGCAAAAUGGCCAAAUGUAUGUCGAUUAUCUAAUGAAGUUCAUGAUUCAAUUUUUAUGUAUAGCAUUAAAAUCAAUAAAGAACAAACACCAAGAUUGAAACUUCACAAACAUGAACCAGAAAUAAGAACACAAAAUUAUUGGAAGAAAGAUAGAACCAGAGUAAAGCGUGUUUAUUUCUCCUGAAAAACCAAAGAGAUUACCGAAUCAUAAAAAUAUUAUCUGAUUUAAUAGUAUACAUUAAAAAUAAUGAAGAAAUUUUGAAAAGAAAACUGAUUUAACAGACAUCACCAAAUCAGAUCCACGCUUAGUUUGACAAACCACCACGCUGCAGAAUAAAUUAAGAACAUGUUUAAAAUUCAAUUUGUAUGCCUUCCAAUCAAAUCAAAAUUAUUAAGAACUUAUUAAAGAAAUUUGAUUUAUCUAGCUGGAGCCGUUCUUGUCCCUUGUAUCAACUUAUCUAGAGGUUUCACUGCAAAACCGAUAAAUGAUCUCUCGAUAAGAAAUACUUUUAUAAAAAAUUUAAGAAAAUAAUAGUUAUCAAAUAAUUUAAAAUGAUUUUUUAUAUAAAUUUUUUUAAAAACUUUAAUGUAAAAGAAGAGUCAAGAGAAGUGUGAUUGUGUGAAGUUCUUGAUUCUUGACUGUUGUCUGUUAUAUCCCAACGAUCUCGUUUACAACAAACCCUGGAAUAAAGCAAUCACAGAGCAAAGAAUCAAGAAAGUGGAACACCAAAUCAAUCAUAAUUGCAUUCUCCAAAUUGACAAAGAAAGAUAGAACCAAAAACCCUUGCUAUGAAUAAAGAACGAAUCAUGGAUGAAAUUUAAUUUAUUCUUCUCUGUUCUUAUCCGUUGAAUCAACAAUUGCUGCAAAAAAACCAAUGAACACGUAUCUAGAUGAUCCAAAUAUGAAGAACUAUAUCCAAUAAUCAAAUAAUUAAUCAAAUUAAUCUUGAUAACCGAUAAUCCAUUGAGCGAGCGAUUUCUGUGUUCGCCGUUCGCAUAUGAAUAGCUAGCAAAACGAUCCAGAUUCCAAUCUUAAGAUCGCUGCAAACCGAUAAACACAUAUCCAUGUUAUUCAAUUAUGAACAACUAUAUCCAAUAAUCAAAUAAUUAAUCAAAUAUUCUUAAUAACCGAUGAUCCAUAAACUAGCGAUAGAUCGAGCGAUUUUGACGUUCUUCGUUCUCAUAUGAAUAGCAAAACCGAUGAUCCAGAUUCCAAACUUACAAUCGCUGCAAAACUGAUAAACACAUAUAUCGAUUAUUCAAUUAUGAAGAAUCAUAUCCAAUAAUCCAAAAACUAUACAACAAAUAAUUCUCGAUAAACGAUGAUCCAUCAAAACAAGUGUGAAAUUCUUCAUAUCUUAAAUCCGAAAAACGCAAAUCCAUAUCGAUCGAUCGAUCAACACGCAAAACUUUAUAAUCGAGAAAUCAAAAUCAUGAAUCAAAAGUAGAAUCGAGAAAUCAAAAUCAUGAAUCAAAAGUUGAACAGAAAAGAAGAAGAAAGGAGAAAGAGAGAACAAACGAGAGGAACGUAGAACGCGCUAUUUCGAGGCACUUUGGAAAGAGGGAACUUAUGAGGCUUAUAUAGAGGGUGGGGUCAAGUUUGACGGCUACGAUAACGCGUGUGGUGGAAACUUGGACGGUUAUGAUUGAACUAAAAUAAAACGGUUAACGCGUUUCCUUUCUAAAUAAGGCGGUGUGAAACACGCUUGAUGAUAAGAUUUAGUAGGGAGUCGUUGUUGGUUUGCGUGUACCGACUUAAAACUAAAGCUAUCUCUCUAAGAUAUAUAAAACGAUAAAAACUCCAAAAAUAAACAUUAUCCUUGGGUUAAAUUUAUUUUUACCUCCAUUAAAUAUAACAACUUCUAUUUUUAAUUCUUCACAAAAAAUAUUCCAAAUUCCAUUUUAUUUUUUAUUUUUUUGAUAGUAGUAUAAUAAUAACUAUAAAUUUAGGGGAAAUUUGUUCCCCUUCCCUGAGGUUGGGGAGAAACAACACUAAAACCCUUUUAGUUUUCAACUGAAUGCAAAACUCUCGUAAAUUUUAUUAAAAGUGACAAAUAUCUUCUUUACCAUUAACAUUGUUAGUUGUCUGUUACUUCCACUUUCAUUCAGCUUCAACAUCCAUUCUCUCUCUCUCUCUCUCUCUCUCUCUCUCUCUCUCUCUCUCUCUCUCUCUCGUGAGCUCUUGAUGUUGCUUCAUUUCUUGCUUGAAAACUUCAUUGCUUUUAAGUAAAUUUUCUUCUCUGAUUCUUGCUUCCUCUAGCUUAGCUUCUGCAGAUGACUUGUAUUCCAGUAGUAGUAGCUUCUAUUCAAGAACUUCUUUUCUAAGCUGCUUGUUUUCCUUUUCCAAUGCAACAUUCCUUUGCAAUAAAUCCAGUUCAGUAGAGGCUGACUUGAAAUUAAUCUUAUUCAGCCAAGUUAAGUCCAAUUCCUUGGGAUGCACACCAAUAGGAAUAAAAUCAGUAGCAUUCCUCUCUCUUAAGCAUAAAGGAUUUUGCACCCAAGUUCUUAGAACUUUAACUGCUUGCAAAUUCUUAUAAACUCCUUUCAGCCAAUCUUGAAGCUUGUUUUGAGCAUAGUCUUGAGCAUCAAGACAUGUUCUCUGAAGCUCACUCAAGACAAAGUCUACUCUCUCUUUCAGUCUCUUCCAUUCCUUCUCAUAACUGUCCUUAUGCACCAGAUUAGUCUUUGCUAGAACCAAGUUGUUCAACUCUUGAAAUAUGUUCUCACACACAUCUGCUAAAAUAGAAGAAUCUAGAAACAGGGUGGAUGGAGAAGGGACAUUUGUUUUGGCAGGAGCACAAGGUUGAAUAGCUUGGUUGGAAGAUGAAGGUUGGUCAUUUGUGGAGUUAUUGGUUGGAAUAUUGAUCUCAGAAGUUUGACUAGAAAUAGAAGUUAUGACCACAGAAGAUGAGUUAAAUACAUCAACUUCAUCAUCAAAACCUUCUGAUGUGAUCAUAAAAUCAGGUUCAUUGAAAUUUUCAGGAAUAGAAAGAGACUCAAUAUAAUCAGAGACAUUUUGUUCAGGAACAGUUUGUUCAAGAACAGAGACAUCUGGUAAGGUAGUUGAGGCCAUUUGUACACUUGGUGCAUGUUGUUGGGGGCUUUCUAAAGCAAAUUCAUCAGAAGCUACCUCAUAGGCUUUUUCUAGGUUUGACCCACACCUGGUAAUUCACCAGAACAGUGAUUGACCAGAUUCUCUAAGACAGAUGUUUCUGAUGUUUGGUUUGUUGAAGAGGGAUGAGAUGAAGAUUCAAUUAUGUUGACAUGCUUAGGCACUUCUGAUUCAUUAACCACAUCUGCAUCAGCACGAACAAAACUCAAAGGUUUGAUCAUUGGUGGUUGGAAAGGGUGAUCAGCAUGCAGUCUUUCACAGACUUUGUUUCUCAUCUCAAACAUUUCUCCUAUCUUAUUGAGAAUAAAAGGAUAAACAGGAUCAUAGGGAAUCUUGUCAGCAGGCUCUUUGUGAAUUUUGGUGGUUGGUGAAGGGCCUUUGUUGAUAGUUGUGUAGAUUCUGCCUAGAGGGACAUUAUCAAGGUCUGAGGAAGUUGAGGAGGUUGAAAUUGAUGUUGAAUGAGAGGUUGAGGUUGUACUAGAUUUUAUAUUUAUGAUUUCAGUAGAGUGUAGAGAAUCAGGAUUACCUUUUGAAGCUUCUGGGAAAACAGCUUCUGAACAACCAGCAUUCUCCUCCUAAACACCUUCAGCAGAUGCCAUCAACAAACUUCCAGCUUCAAAUGCCACAAGUUCUUGCACAACUACAGCAGCUUUGAUAACUUCCUGAGCAUCUGCACCAACAUCUUCUCUUACAAUGUUGGAUGCAUGGACUUCAAUCUCCUGUGCUAACUCCAACACCUUCUGAAGUGUAGCAGCUGCAAUGUUAUCUUCCUCUUCCAUCACAUGAUCUGCUACCUUCAGUUUCCUGAUAGCUUGCCUUCUCUUCUUCUUUGGAAUUGAAGGUUGGUCAGGAGCAGAUUGGGAAGAAGUUGCAGCAGGUUGACCACUUCUAGUUCUCUUGGUUUAUCAGCCUCCAGAUCUUCAACGUCUUCUUGGAUAGUUGGUAUAGUAGGACCAACUAUGUCUUCCUGAACUAUAGCUCUUUCCUUCUUAGCUCUCUUGGCUUUCUUUGCAGUCUGUUCAGGAGCAUCAUCCAAAUACUCUUCUUUGGUGAGUGCUUUCCUCUUGGUCUUUCUGCUCUUUGCUACUGGUAGGGGACCACCAUACAUGGUUCCAGGAACAUCUUCAAGCCUUAUCUUCUUACCAGUCACAGCAAAGUGAUCUUUGAUAAAGUUCAUCUGAACAUCAAGAGAAUCUUGUUUGCAGAUAGGAGGAAAGUCUUCCAUCAUAAUGGACAUUGCAUCAAAUUCCUUCAAAUCUGUGCUCAGCUUUUUAUAAGGAUCCUUUGCAAUCAAGCUCAUGUUCCUGAGUGUCUUCCCAUUGAUGACCUUGCCUGUUUCUGUAUUAAGUUGCUCAUCAAUGAAGAAGUUGAUAUCCUUCAGAGCUUUCAGAAUCCCUCCUUGAUGAAGAAUCUCUAAAAUAAGCCUUCCAUAGGGAACCCAGCAUCUUUUGUUUUCUUGGCUUUCCCUGAGCUCUUUAAUCAUAUGCUUGAAGAUGUAUCUGGGCACAUUUGCUUUUUCCUUCGUUAUGAAGAAAUGAGGGAAAAUUCUAUGCUCCAAAGAGGGUUGAUCACUACCACCACCUUUUGGUAGAAGAUUUUCAUUCUGAAUCUUCAGAAUCAUCUUCUUCUCCAUGCUCAAAUCACUGUAAGCACCUUUCUUUGUGUUGUUGAACAUGGACUUGUGGACUACUUCAUUCCAAGGGCUAGUCUUGUUGUUACCUACACCACCUUUGAAACUUACUUUAGAAGCUCUAAUGAUAACAAAGGCAAUAGCAUCUUCAGAGAUGAAAACAGGGACGCCCAUGAUGCUUGACCUGAUUUCUGUCCAUGUAAAUGGUUCCAAACCCAUUUCUUCUUGUGAUUUUCCUUCCAGGGUAGGAUCAAUCAAAACUUUCUCUAUUUCUUCCAGCAGAGCAGCCUUCAUAUCGUAAACAUGCGCUCUGACCCAGAAGUGCCUGACAAGGGUCUUGUAUGUUGGGCCAUUCUACAUUUUGAAGUAUUCCAUAAGACCUUGAGCUUCGUAGUUGCCUCUGAUGUCACACCCAUGGUAUGCUAAUGAAAUAAAAUCCACCGGAUUCUCAAUUUGAAUCUUAAGAUGCCAUUCUUCUAAGGACAUGGUCCUCCCUUUGAUUUCAUACGCAGGUGCUUCUUGCAUGCUUGUUGACGUUUCAAGAACUGAACUUGAUGACGCCAUUGAUGAGUAUGAAGAUUUAGGGUUCUAGGGAUUUGAAUGAGGAAGAAUGCGUUUUACUUCGCAAAGAAUCAGUGAGAAAUAGAAAAUGUAGGUUGUGAAGUGAGUAGUGUGUGAUUUGUCUAAUUGUUUUGAGUAAAAACGUUUGCAAUUCAGAAAAGGGACAAACAAACACAUCAUUAAUGACAUAGGGGGCGCGAGAUAGUACAUUCAAAGCUAAAAAUCAUCAUUGCCCUCUUAAGUCAUACACCAAUACAAAUAAGCCACGUCAGAAGUUUUUCAAAGUAACUUCUAAGUUAGUGGGACAGGUGUUACUAAAAAGUAACUUCCAACAUUUCCACUAAUACUACUUGUUCAGGAGCAAAGAAUUCAGCUACUGAAGUUAAAGUGCUGACGUCAUCUUCAGAAGCACAUUUUCCUCAGAAUCUCAGUUAAGAGCUUCUGAUGGACCAUAGCUUCUGAACAGACUUCAGGACCAAACUUCUAGUUCAUGAGCAAGCAAAUUUAAUCAGACACAAAGUGCAUGUUCAAGGUUUUCUUAAUAAAAUCAAAUCUUUCCACAGAUAAAGGCUUAGUAAAUAUACCAGUCCAUUGAUGUUCAGUAUCCAUGAAUUAUAUUGUAUAUCUAAGAUUCCUUUUUGAACAUAGUCUCUAAUAAAGUGGUGUUUGAUAUCAAUAUGCUUGGCUAUUGAAUGUAGAAUAGGAUUCUUUGACAAACAAAUAGCAGCAGUAUUAUCACAAUAAAUGGGAAUACUGUUAGCAUUUAUCUGAUAGUCUUCCAACUGAUGUUUCAUCCAAAGCAGUUGUGUACAACAACUUGCAGCUAAGAUGUAUUCUGUAAUGCCCUAUUUCUAUUAAAGCGAUAAAACACACGAAUAAAAUAAAUAUUCAAGAAAUAGACACUACGUCUUCAACAAAAACCAAACAUGCAUGCAUAUAAAAAUCCUCAACAGUCGCAGCGGAUAUAAAUCAUACAUCUCCAAAGUAUACAUGCCAUGAGAUCAAAAUACAUCAUCAUAUAAAUUCUCCAAAUCCCGACAAAUGGGCAAAUCUCCACAACAUAAAUAAAUCCAGAAUAAUCAAUCUAGAAUAAUCAUAAAGACAGACAUCCUAGAUCAGAGCCUACCCUAAGACUCAAAGGAAACGAUAACGGAGAUAGCUCCCGCUAUCCAAGCAAUCAUCAAGAAACUCACCAAAAGCAAACUAGUCAUGUACUUUGUCUACUCAUCCAUACAGACAGGUAGGCGGUCCAUCACAGAUCCACUGGAGGUAAGCUUCACAUCAAUCAUAAUCAACAUAAAUAAACAUAGGCAUUCAAGGAUUCAUGCAUAACACAUAUACAUAAUCACCCCUCCUAGAAUACUAGCAUCAUAUGAUUAUUAUCCCCCAUCACAUACAUUCCAAGCUAUCAAAAUACUAACAUAGCAUAGCAACAUAUUCAAUCACUAAUCAAGUCAUCGACAUAAUCUCAUCAUUCAUCAACAACAAUCAAGAAAGGAUUAAUCACAUUAUUCUUCAUUUAGCAUACUAAGCUCAACAAUACAUUUCAUCAUUUCAAAGUUAUAAGCAAGUAAUCAUCAUUAUCAAAGGAAUCAUCACAUCAUAUAUAUGCACAUAUACAAUUCUCACCUCAUCACUGUCACCAAAAUAAUUAUCAUCAAAUACAUUCACCAAGUGUAUAAGCACGAGCAAGUAAGAUAUGCAAUUAAAGCAUAAUUCAAUUAUUCACAACCGUCAACAAAAUCCAUCAAUGUACAUAUACACCAAUUCACAUAUUCAUAACAUUCACCGAAUUCCACCAAUGCACAAAUUCAUCAAGUCACAUAUUCAAUUAUGACACGCCUCAUCAAUUACUAUAAUGCAUGCAAUGUUCUAGACUCUUCUAGAUGCAUGCGGUACCGUCAACAACAACGUCUAGGUCGUCACCCCAGGAUGCCAACUGCACAUCAUAUGUAAGAGUACACCUCCUCUUAUGAACAACUAUGUAAAAGUACACCUCUUUUUACAUUUCUCAUAUGACUAUGAUGCAUGGACAUACAAGCAAAGACUCAAUAAUGCAAAAGCAUACAUUCACCAACAACAAUGUAAAAGUACACCUCCAUUUACAUUGAUCAACUUCAACAACAAUUGCAUUAUCAAUUAUUUACGUCCACACAAUCAAUCAAGUCAUAAUUCAAUUAAGAGUCAUCACCACACCAUCACUUAACAUAUAUGCAUUCACCGAAAAUAUCACACUCAAUUAACAUAUAUAUAUUUUAACGCCCGUUUUGAUUAUUUAAUUAUGUUGUUGAGUUUAGAAUAUAUUUAUAUGAUUUGUGUGAUUUAUGUGAUUUAAUGAGGUGUUGUGACUUAUUUUAUUGUUUAAUAAAAUAAGAUUUGAAAAUAAAAUAAAUAUUGAGUUGAGGGGUUGUUUUGAGAUUUUAGAGAGUUUUGUGGGUAAAAGAGGAAUAAAAUAAAAUAGAUGGGAAGAGAUAUAAAUAGGUGAGGGUUAGGUUUAGAAAAGUUUUUUUAACGUACGAUCAAUUUUGGAGAAAAGGGAUAAAAGUCAAGAGAAGAUAAGAGGACCAAAGAGAGGCUGCGAUUUCGAUUUUCUAAGGUAAGGGUGAGACUAACAUUCAAUCUUAUUAAAUCUGUAAUUCUGAUGGUUGUAUUUAACAAGUGUAGGAUUGUUUUAGAGAAGUUGGAAAUUAGGGUUAAAGUGAGAAAUUGAUGAUUUAUUGAUGUAGAAUUGUAGAAUUGAUGUAGAAAGUGUUUACAGACCUUAGAUAAUCCAUAGGAUGAAAUCUGGAAUCAAUGUUAAGCUUAAAACCAUGCCUUUAGGUGGAUUUUCGUGAAAAUCUGCAUUCUGCCCGAGCCAACAUUCAUCGCUCGCCUCCCGAGUGAUGAUCCUCGCCCUCGCGAGGGAUGAUCUUCAUCGCUCGCCUCGCGAGUAACACCUUGCAACUCGCCAUAGCGAGCAGAUCACUCGCCAUAGCGAGUAUGACCAGUGAGAAACCUGAUUUGUGAGUUAACUCCUUAAGUCGAACUUUAGAUGUUUUUGAGUGCCUGAAUAUGUAUAAUAAUGAUUAGGCAAGUUUUUAGAUUGAGAUUGAACCUACGAAAGUUUAAAAAUGGAUUUUUGGGUGAAAAAUGUCAAAUUCCCGAGAGCACCCAGUUUCUUGUUUGCCAAGGUGAGUCGCUUACUCGCCAAGGCGAAUGCCAUUUUCCUGAACUCGCCAUAGCAAGUAGAGGCUCUCGCCUCGCGAGCCCUUGUGAGACAGAACUCCUUGUUAGGUUAAAUGUGACCUUUAUCGCACGAGUUGAUGUGAGUUGAUCACGGGGGUAAGAAACUAAGUUGCUUAUCUUACUGUUGUUGUUUCAGUGAGCCUGAAUUAUAUGAUUUGAUGUUGUUAAUAAUGUGAUAUAAAUGUAUAUGCAUUACAAGAAUUAUAUAUGAUGUUUGAGAUGUUGUUGAUUUGCAUUUGAUAUUGUUAUAUCAUGAACCGUUUUAUGUACUGCCUAUGUUGUUGUUUGUUUAUUAACUAAGCUGCAUGAGUCGGUCUAAGAUGAAAGAUGUUGUUCCAAAUUAUUGGAUUUAUAUAAGAGGUCGUUUUUUCUAAGAUGUUAAGUUGUUGAGUCCAUGCAUACUCAUUCAUUGUUGGGGGCUUGAUGCCCUGGAGCCUUCGCAGAGUUUUGGCGCUUUCAAAUUGUUGUAUAGUCUUGCCAUUCUUUAAGUCUUCACUCCUUUAUAUAGAGGUGUGAAAGAGACGUUGUGAAUUGCCAACACAUCAAAAUAGAGUCGUUUGAAGCUUUGAUCAAUCACUAAAGAUCUUUUACCUAAUAAGGUUAUUGUCCUAUGAAGGAUCAAUUUCAAAUCCAUUCCCAGUAUGUAGGAACAUUGUUGGAGGCAGAGCUGUUAUCCUUGUCUUGUGGCAGAGACAAAAACUGAGUAGUGGAGAUAGUGGUUGUACAAUUCGUACAAUUGUACUAUGUCAAUGCUCUUCAAAGAACAAGCAUCUAAUGCUUUCAAAUCCUUUCAAAAUAGCUGUUGCUUCACUCCUGCGGUCUUUUGCAAUGCUUGGACGAGAUUGAACCAUUGAACAACCUUUGAAGCUUUAAGUCUUGCAUCUCUUGAUGAACUUCAGCUUCUGGUGAUCUUGCUUCUGAUGAGAUGCUUUUGAUGAACUUGCUUCUAAUAACGUCAUCACUUCAGAAGCACUUUGACUUCAGGCACACUUCUCUUCAGAUGCUUCAAGCUUCCUUUUUGUUGAUUCCUUUGCUCUCUUUUGUUCUUCCAGAACCUAAUAAUGAUAUCAAAAUUUUCUCUAUGGUCAUGUACACUUGAAAAAAUAUUAUUAUAUCUAAUUGACAACUUUUAAUACCUUGUUAUCAUCAAAACUCUCAAAGGGUAAUGUUAAACACAUUUAUUUCCAACAUGGAAUACCACAUCAAAAUCCAAUUUCAUCACUAAAUCCCAAUAUUAAAGCUUCUAAAAUUAAAGCUUAUUAUGAAACUCACCUCAAAUGCAACUUCCAUUUAUACAAGAAGCUUCAAAGCUCUCUGUCUCUUUUAAAGCUACUGCUCAAGCUUCCUUCAAUUCCUUACCUUCAGUUCUUGCUUCUAAACACCAAUAUAAGAUACAACAUGUUGAGGCAAAAUCCCUAAUUAAUUUUAAAGAUAAUAAACCAUUAUGAUUAAAGAAUUAAUGGACUUUGAUUUAUUCAUUGGUAUUUAACUUGUUCUCUUGAGUGUUUUACUAAGACAGGAACAAGGUUUAAAUCAUACUAAGAUUCAAGAAAUCAAAGGACAUUGGAAUUCAUGAUCUAACACUGAUGUCAGAAAGUUAGAUCAGAAUGUUGCUCAGAGAUCAGAAUGUUCAAGCAGAGAUCAGAAAAUUGUUCUUAUACAAGUCAAGAAUCUCAAGAACAUUGAUCAAGAUCAUGCAAGGCACAUGUGAUAUGGAUAAAUUUCCAGGAAGGUACAUUUGCAUGGAUCAAUCAAGCAACAAAGGCAUAUACAAAGAUUAUGUCAAAAAGGAUACUCAAUGUUCAUUUAAGACUAUGAACAUUGAAGUACUGGGAAUAUUCCAAAAGGGAAUAUCAUCCUAGAUGUUGAAGUCACUGCUCUUCAUUGUUGUUUCAUUAUUAGGAUUUGAUUACAUCAAAUGGUAGUCUUACAAAUCAUCCUAAGUGAAACAAAAGGAACAUUCUGAUGGUCAGAAUGUUCAGCUCUGCACAUGCUUACUUUAUGAACAGUACAGUAGGUGAAAAGGCAAAAAGAAAAAACAAAGCAAAUAUGUCCUGUUCAACAACAAAUAGAUACGCAUGAGAGUUGCUACAGUACAUGGACCACACAAUCUCUCAAAGUAUGAGCAUGAAGAUGCAGAAUCCACUUUAUCUCUCCUGCGCCAGUCCCAAGGCAAAUCUGGGAAAAUAACUUUCUGAUGUAUGUGGAAAAGCCCAUACUUUGAUUACUGCCCAGGAAUUCAUAUGAAAAGCAUAUGACACGCCCAGAAAUUCAUGUGUUCAUUCACACAUGAUGAACCCAUAUGAAGAUCAUCAAGAACACAACAACAUUCUGAAGUUCAUCCUUGAUCAGAAUGUUCACCAAGAAUUUCAAGUAAAAGCUUUUGGGACCCACACAUGGCAUAACACCAUUGGACACCCUACAACGGCUAUAUGAGCCCAAAGACUCUAUAAAUAGAGAUCAAAGGCUCAACAUUACUUGCACCAUUGCAAAGCAUACAAGAAAACAACUGAAAUUGUUUGAAGCUCUUGCAAUUGAAUUAAUUAUCACUAAAGGCUUUUUUUACCUUCUUUGUAGUGUAAAUCAAUUCUCUUUGUUAUCUUUGUUAAAGAUAACUUCUUCUUCCUCCUCUUAUGUUUGAUUCUCGAACAUGCAAACCUCUUACAAAUUGUAAACAAAGUCUCAUCUAGCUUUAGGGGUACUAAAGUGUUAGUUUGAGCUUAGUUUGUAAAAGUCUAAGUGGUUAACUUAGCAACAAGGUGCAAACCUGCUGAGGAUUAGAGAAUAGUGAGGAGUGGACUAACCCACAUUGGGUGAACCACUAUAAAUCGCUGUGUGUUCUUUCUCUCUUCCCUAGACUCUUUAAUUACACUUGUACACUUACUUUAUUAAACAGUUUUUUGUGUAUGAACAUUAGAACGUUCUGAAGUCAUAAUAUUAACUUAAAUUAUGUUAACUUGUUUUGAAUUUGUAAUAUCCCGCUUCAUUAUGACAGCAACAUCAGUCUAGAAUACCACAUCAAAAUCCAAUUUCAUCACUAAAUGUCAAUAUUACAAAUUCUAAAAUUAAAGCUUAUUAUGAAACUCACCUCAAAUUCAACUUCCAUUGAUGCCAAAAGCUCUCUGUCUCUUUUAAAGCUUCUGCUCAAACUUCCUUCAAUUCCUUCCCAUCAGUUCUUGCUUCUAAACACCAACAUAAGGUAAAACCAUCAUCAAUAGAUUACAUGCAAGCCAAUUAUCAAGCUCAAGAUAAAACUUUCCAAAACAGCAUGUGAAUGAUGAUGGUACAGCUGGGGAAGAAAAGAAAGCAAUUAAGUUUGUUUUAGGGAUGAAAUAGUGUGAAGAUUGUGAUAGUUUCUUUGCAUGUUGGAUUGAUAUAAGAGAUUGAGUGGAAAUUUUUGAUGUUUGGAUGGGAGAAGUAUGGGGGCCGAGCCAAAAAGAGAGGAGGAGGGAGAGAGAGACUCUGUACGUGAGAGAGAAUUGGAAGGAAAAAGAUAAGAAGAAAAAUGUGGUUUAGCUCUUUUAUAAUCUUUUGAUAAAAUUAUUACCACGAUGCCCUCCUCUUAAGAUGUUUUUCAGUCACAGUUAAAAGGACACUGCAUUCUAUCCGGAAUUAAGCGGGAUAUUACGAAUUCAAAAUAAGUUAACAUAAUUCCCAAUGAAUAAUAAGUCAAUUAAUUCAUAUAUACUAUUCAACAAUGAGAUCUAAAACUUAGAUCCAAAUUUUGUUACGAUGUUUCAAUGUUGUGCACAUAGAAGAAAUUCAAUUUGACUUUUCAUUAGAUUUGAUCUAGUGUAGCCUUUGUGUAAACGAGAAAUUUAUCUUUGAUGCCCUUUUAAAACAUUUUUAUUGAAAUGUGAAAUUCAAUCAAAUCGACGAAAUACCAAAUGCAUUGAGAAAAAUAUACAUUAAUCAUAUACAUUUGAUACUUCGUCGACUGAUUGAAAAUUCACCUCCAACAAAUGACUGAUGAUGGUAACAUACGAUAAGGAUUAAUCUGAUGAGUCACCUUUUUUAGCCCUGAAUAAAAAGAAGAUGGAGAAAAAACAUGGUGACAUAGAUAAAAUAAAAUCUACAUAAUACACAGAUGAAAAACAAAAUUUCUACUAACAUAAAAUACAAGUACCUAGGUAUUUAUAGCAUCAAAUAUUAACUUUUUUUAAUGGUGGAUUUAAGUUUUUAACUUAUUUUAUAUGAAAUUUAUAAAAAAAAAAAUCAAGCUUCUAGAAUGCUAAAAAGGUUUAUAAUAAAUAAUAAUAAUAAUAAUAAUAAAUAUAAAACUAUAAAAUAAAAAUAAAAAUAAAAAUGAAUUGAUAAUACGUUUUUUCUUUAAACUUAUUUGACUAAAAUUUAAGUAUUCUAAUUAUUAAAAAAUUAAAUGUGUUGAAAACCGAAGUCAAAUCAAGACCCAACUCAAGCGGUCAAUGUAUAAAAAAAGAAGUCAACAACAUUUAUUAUAAACAAAAGGAAAUUUAUUUUGCUUAGAUUGGAUUUGAUCGGUUGUCACAGUCAAAAUAAGGUACUAAAAAUUGAUCCUUUAUAAACAAAAGGAAAUUUAUUUUGCUUAGAUUGGAUUUGAUCGGUUGUCACAGUCAAAAUAAGGUACUAAAAAUUGAUCCUUUGCGGCUGCAUUAGGGGGUUCUCGCUCUCCUCCGACGGAAGAACCUCAUUAUUCGGUACCUUGCAUUAAAGGUGAUUCCCUUUCCAUACGAAUAUGCCAGGAUGAAUACGUUAAAGGUCUGGAAGAUUGUCAAUAUGCAUUACGUGGGAGACUAAUCUUGUCUAAAGGCGACAAACCUUACACCGCUCGCGAUUUAGCCUCCAAACUUGGCAAGAUUUGGAAGAUUAUCCAUCAAUGGAAGAUGGUUAAUCUUGGUCAGGGUUUCUACGAUUUUUUAUUUGAAAAUCAUGAUGAUUUUAAUCGGACUUGGACAGCGGGUACAGUUUCACUACAACCAGGGCUCCUUCGCCUCUCCCAAUGGACGAAGGAUUUUAACCACAACGCUCAGACACAAACACACGCCUCUUUAUGGAUCAAACUUGUAGUGUUGCCUCAGGAGUAUUGGCGCGAAAGAACAUUGAAAGAAAUUGCGAGUGCGGUGGGUACCCCUAUUUCUAUUGAUGGACCGACACGUAAUAGAGCUUUCGGACACUAUGCACUCAUUCUUGUGGACAUUGACUUAUCGAAGCGGGUUUAUGAUGAAAUCCUUGUUGAACGGGAGGGGUUUGCUUUUAACGUAGAAGUGCAAUAUGAAAGACGCCCUUUGUUCUAUCAUUGGACAUAAUGUCAUGAAUUGUAAGAGGUUGUCAAGGUCCCUGACCGUGGGAAGAAGCAGGUUACUGAUGCAGCUAGCAAUCCACCGCUUGUUGGGAAGGGAGCUUCUUCAUCAGGCACACUAUGUUAUGUUCCCUUACCAACAGCUGCUGAGACACAUGUUGUUGUUCCCACACCAACAGCUCAUGCACACGCUGUUGUCCCCCCACCAACAGCUGAGACAUGUGCUAUUGUUUGUAACGCCCUAUUUAAUUAUUAGAUUAUUUUAUUGAGUUUAGAGUCUAUUUAUAUGAUUUAUGUGAUUAAAAUGAUUAUGUGGUGUGUUGUUAUUUUAUUAAGUGGUGUUAUUUUAUUAUUUAAUACAAUAAGAUUUGAAAUUAAAAUAAUAUUGAGAUGAGAGGCUGUUUUGAGAAUUUAGAGAGUUUAGUGGAAUAAGUGGAAAUAAGAUAAAGAGGGUUGAGGAAAUAAAUAGGAGAAAACCUAAGUCAGAAUAGUUUUCACGUGAAACAAAACGUUUUGGAGAAAAAGGGAGAAAACAAGAGAAGAGAAGAACCGGAGAGAUCGUAGAGCUUCGUUCAUCUAAAUUAAGGUAAAGGUGAGGCUAAAUCUCAAUAAUCAUAGUGUAUGUGAAUUCUGAAAUUGAUUUAACAUGUGGUUGUUUAUGAAUUUUGGAAUUAGGGUUAGAAUGUAGAAUUGAAUUGUGGAAAGAAGUAGAUAAUCUGAUGGAUGUGCAUUAAGUAUUCUAAGUAUUAAAAAAUUAAAUGUGUUGGGGGUUUAUGCUCCGGAAUGCUUAGUCAUUCAAACACGUUAAAAUGGUACCACAUGCAUGUGCAUUGACGCAUUUGUCGUUGUGUCGUUGCAUAGUCGUUGUUGUUGGUUGAGUUGUAGUCGUUGUUGUUGGUUGAGUUGUUGUCGUUGUUGUUGUCGUUGUUGUUGGUUGAGUUUGUAGGUGUUGUUAAUAUUGAUGAAGUAUGAAACAAGACUAUUGAAUUAUCCGUUGUUAAUUAGGUUGUUAAAUACAGUUGAUGAUUUAUAUACCUAUUAUUAUUGUUUGUGAAUCUCACCCCUUCUGCUUGAAAAUGUUGCCCUUCGUAUGGGUAACUUGCAGGUGAUCGAGGAUAGUUGCUGUUAGUUGUUGUUAGUUGCUGUCGUGAGUGGACCUCCUCUCACGUGUGUCUUAGGUGCUCUGAUAUGUAACGGGAUGAGAAAUAUUGUCGUUGUAUUCAUCAUUCCUUAUGUAUCAUUAUGAACCUGUUGGUGUUGGAUUAAAUCCUUAAAGAUAAUUAUGUUGAGGCCAUGUGCCAAAUUUAUUGAAAGUUGUUUAAUGUUGAAAAUAAUUCCGCUGCGAUGAAUUGAUAUGUUUUACCAAAGUUAUUAUUUAAUAAAUAUGAUUUUAUUCUAUUUAUGAAUUUUUGAAAAGCAGUGUGACAUUCCGUUUGUUGAUUAACUCUGAUUUUACUUAAUAUUUACGUUGUUGGGUUAAUGGGGUGUUACAUUGUUCCCCCAACAGCAGCUGCCAUCCCCAAUAAUAUUGCAACAUCUGUUGUCCCUCCACCAUCAGCUGCAGCCGGUGAGGCAGCAGGUACCACUUGUAGCAACUUGCAAGGUUUUUCUGAACCUAUUCCUCAAGGUAAUCUACCUCGGCCUAAUACACAUGUUUUGGAGCUAGCAGAAUCUGUGAUGAAUGAUGAUGUGCAACGUUCAUCCGAGACACUUCCGGUUAAUCAAAAUAAUAUUUAUGUUGAACACGGCGAAGAACAGGAUGAUGAUGAUGACAUUGAUUUUUUUAUUGAUGAAGAUGGUAUUGCAACAGCUGCACCGAAGACUACUACUACUUCCAUCCCUCUGGUUUUGGCAGCAGUCCCAGUACCUGAUCCUUUGGUGGCUGCCUCGACGGUGGGCUCUCAGGAUGAUAACGCUUUAUCCAUUGCCGUCCCGGAGAAACACAACAAUGAUAGAGUUCAACAUGAUAUGGAACUUUGUGAAAAAGAGUAUGAUAUGCAGGUUGAAGCUCUUUCUGGGUCACGCCCUUCCUUGGCGUCACCGGUUGUUGUAGAGAGGUCUCUUGAAGCUAGCGCUAGCAUGACAAUACCAGAAGCUCAAGAGGUUGUAGUUUUACAACAACAACAUGUACAUCCCAUCAAGAACAUUCAACACGGCCUAGAUCUAUGGGACAGAGUUCGUGAAUAUGAUGCAAGGUCAGCUGCAGAAGAUUUCACACCGGUCCUUACAAGGAAGCAGAAAUAGAAAAUUAAAGUGCAACAAGUCUUGGCUAAGCAGCCCCCUAAAACCCGUGCCCGGGGUGAUAAUCAUCAGACUGCUCAAUGAAUUUCCUCCAUUGGAAUGUUAGAGGUAUCAGUAAUUAUGAUACUCGGAUUGCUUUAAAAAUUUAUACAUGUCUCAAAAAACUGUUCUGAUUUUUAUUGAGGACCUAGCAUGGGUCACUCAGUGCAAAGAACGGUUUGACUAUCUUCUCUCCCUAAUGAGUGAUUUCUUUAGGGAUAGAUGUGGUUUACCCAACGACAUAUUUCCAUAAUUUGUUUUACGGUGUUUUUUGUUGAUUCCUUUAUUCUUGCUUUCUGUUUUUUCUCUAGAGGGUUUUGGUCUAGUCCCCCCUCCUUUGUAUUUAUUUUCCCCCUUUUUUUAAUAAAUUUUUUAGAGUUUGGCAGCAUAGGAUGGAGAUUUCUCACGGUGCCAACCAAGUUGGGAUGUCGAUGUUGCCUCUUGAUGUCUGUCCAUUCUCCUUGCUUAUAAAAAAAUUAUUAAAAAAUUAAAUGUGUUGAAAACCGAAGUCAAAUCAAGACCCAACCAAGCGUCAAUGUAUAAAAAAAUGAAGUCAACAACAUUUAUUAUAAACAAAAGGAAAUUUAUUUUGCUUAGAUUGGAUUUGAUCAGUUGUCACAGUCAAAACUAAAAAUUGAUCGAGUCUAUUUAAGAAAAUAAGGUUUUUAUUUUAUUUUUAUAUUUUCGUCCGGUUGGUGAACUUUGCAAUGGAUGUGAGAAAUCAUAUUUUAAGGCAUCUAACUAAAGACCUCCUAUUAGCGAGUAUUCUUGUACGCAUUGUACUCAAUUCCAUAUUAAACAUGCCACGAACAAUCCAAAUAAAUGGACCGAUGAAUCUAUACCAGAAAUAGAUUAUAUCUAUUCAUGUUAUAAUUUAAGAUUUCACUAGGUAAUUUUGAUUGCAUUAUAACUAUAAGCCUUUGAUUUUUUAAUACAUGAAUUGAUUGCGGAAACAUUACAACUAUUUAAUUUGACUAUAUGCUUUGUUAUCUUAUUUUUGUCAAAAAAAUUAAAUUUAAACUCAUAUCAUAAAAUAAUGAAUGCAACUUGAUAAUAUAUAUUACAAUCACAAAAACUUAAAUAUUAUUCCAUAAACCGAAGACUUAACAUAAUUAGCUUUAGUAAAAAAUCUACUCUCGAAACUCUCUUUUACACGUAAAUAAGCAUUAGGUAAAAAAAAAUUGCUUUUGGUUUUUACUGUUUUUUUUUCUACAUGUGUUCGACAAUAUUUUUUUUUUCUAAGCCAGGAUAUUGGACAGGCAUCAACGGGAAGCAACGACAUCCCAACUAAGUGGCACCCCGCAGAACCCCCAUCCUAUACCACCAAUCUCAGAGAAAAUUUUGUUAAAAAAGGGGGAACUUUAAUUAACUUUUUCCCGAUUCACAUUUCUUAAAUUAACUCAAUUCUUGCAUCCAUUGUUCGUUUUUUCCCAUUAAGCACUUCUGAUUCAUUCCAAAACAGCUCAUUCAUCAAAAACUAUGCCAAAACCUGUAAGCAGCUUUCUGCAGAAUUUACCAAACUUCAAAUGCGUUUUUCGAAUCCAUUUCUAAUCAGAAUCAUACCAAAUCUAUAUCCAAACUGAAGGGAAUCAAAUGUAGAAAUAAAAAAUUCAACAAUUAUACAAGUAUGGGUUACACAUCUAAAUUUAAAGCUUAUUAUGAAACUCACCUCUAAUACAACUUCCAUUGAUACCAAAAACUUCAAAGCUGUCUGUCUCUUUUAAAGCUUCUGCUCAAACUUCCUUCUAUUCCUUCCCAUCAGUUCUUUCUUCUAAACACCAACAUAUACAACCAUCAUCAAUAGAUUACAUGCAAGCCAUUUAUCAAGCUGAAGAUAAAACUUUCCAAAACAACAUGUGAAGGAUGAUGGUACGGCCGGGGAAGAAAAGAAAGCAAUUAAGUUUGUUUUAGGGAUGAAAUAGUGUGAGGAUUGUGAUAGUUUCUUUGCAUGUUGGAUUGAUAUAAGAGAUUGAGUGGAAAUUUUUGAAGUUUGGACGGGAGAACUAUGGGGGCCGAGCCAAAAAGAGAGGAGGAGGGAGAGAGAGACUAUGUACGUGAGAGAGAAUUGGAAGGAAAAAGAUAAGAAGAAAAAUGUGGUUUAGCUCUUUUAUAAUCUUUUGAUAAAAUUAUUACCACAAUGCCCUCCUCUUAAGAUGUUGUUCAGUCACAGUUAAAAGGACACUGCAUUCUAUCCGGAAUUAAGCGGGAUAUUACGAAUUCAAAAUAAGUUAACAUAAUUCCCAAUGAAUAGUAAGUCAAUAAAUUCAUAUAUACUAUUCAACAAUGAUAACUAAAACUUAGAUCCAAAUUUCGUUACGAUGUUGCAAUGAUGUGAACAUAGAAGAAAUUUGAUUUGACUUCUCAUUAGGUUUGACCUAGUGUAGCCUUUGUGUAAACGAGGUUUGACCUAGUGUAGCCUUUGUGUAAACGAGAAAUUUAUCUUUGAUGGCCUUUUAAAACAUUGUUAUUGAAAUGUGAAAUUCAAUCAAAUCGACGAAAUACCAAAUGCAUUGAGAAAAAUAUACAUCAAUCAUAUACAUUUGGUACUUCGUCGACUGAUUGAAAAUUCACCUCCAACAAAUGACUGAUGAUGGUAACAUACGAUAAGGAUUAAUCUGAUGAGGCACCUUUUUUAGCCCUGAAUAAAAAGAAGAUGGAGAAAAAACAUGGUGACAUAGAUAAAAUAAAAUCUACAUAAUACGCAGAUGAAAAACAAAAUUUCUACUAACAUAAUAUACAAGUGCCUCCAUGAAUUUAAACAAGUACCUAGGUAUUUAUAGCAUCAAAUAUUAACUUUUUUUAAUGGUGGAUUUAAGUUUUUAACUUAAUUUAUACGGAAUUUAUAAAAAAAAAUUCAAGCUUCUAGAAUGCUAAAAAGGUUGAUAAUAAAUAAUAAUAAUAAUAAUAAAUAUAAAACUAUAAAAUAAAAAUAAAAAUAAAAAUGAAUUGAUAAUAUGUUUUUUCUUUAAACUUAUUUGACUAAAAUUUAAGUAUUCUAAUUAUUAAAAAAUUAAAUGUGUUGAAAACCGAAGUCAAAUCAAGACUAAUUUGAUCCUAAAAUUCUCUCUCUUGACAAGAAUAAUAAAGUCAUUGUGGAAUAAAAGAAUCAAAUUAAUUUUGGGUUCAAAGUUUUAUUUUUGUAGGUCAUGAUAUGUAUGUCUUGUUUUGGCUAUAUCUGGAGCUCUGGAUGUCCGUUUGAGGUGAUCUUUAACUCAUUGGAAAGCUUACGGAAUUCUCUACAUUUCGUCUGUUUGACUCAGGAGCUAUUCAAGCUAUAAAUUCAAGGUCGAAUUCUCUUGAGGAGGGAGAGUAUGAUGUGAUCCUAAAUUUCUCUCUCUUGACAAGAAUAAUAAAGUCAUUAUGGAAUAAAAGAACCAAAUUAAUUUCGCCUUGAGGAAUCGCCACAAUGGUAAGGAAUCCAUUGAUAAGAUUCGAUAAACUUGGUUCAAUCUAGAACCAAAAAGAAGCAAAGCUUCACAACACACAAAGUGUAUUUUUUUUUAUCAAAAUUCAACUUGUCCCCUUCAUUAUUUCCGCCCCCUUUAUAUAGGAAAUAAACUUGAAUGCUAAAAAGCUUACAAUCAUAGCAUAAUUUGUGUUAUAACUCCUUGGUGGCUAGUUAUUACAAAAGAGGUUACAAUUUAAUUGGAUCUUUAAAGUUGGUGGCUGAUCAAUGCAUGAGAAGGUUACAUAUUCAUUUUCACAUUGAUUUGUGAAGGCUUAUUAUGUCUAGACGUUACAAUUCCACAAACACCACCUUUAAUUCUUCAGCUAACACACUUUAACCACGUCUUCUACUUAUAGCUCAUUCUACACCACUAAAUAUUCCGAAUUUGCUUUUGAGUCAAACAGACGAAAUGUAGAAAAUUUCGUAAGCUUUCCAAUGAGUUAAAGAUCACCUCAAACGGACAUCUAGAGCUCCAGAUAUAGCCAAAACAAGACAGACAUAUCAUGACUUACGAAAAUAAACUUUGGACCCAAAAUUAAUUUGGUUCUUUUAUUCCACAAUGACUUUAUUAUUCUUGUCAAGAGAGAGAAUUUUAGGAUCACACCAAAGACCCAACUCAAGCGGUCAAUGUAUAAAAAAAGCAGUCAACAACAUUUAUUAUAAACAAAAGGAAAUUUAUUUUGCUUAGAUUGGAUUUGAUCAGUCGUCACAGUCAAAACUAAAAAUUGAUUGAAUCUAUUUAAGAAAAUAAGGUUUUUAUUUUAUUUUUAUAUUUUCGUCCGGUUGGUGAACUUUGCAAUGGAUGUGAGAAAUCAUAUUUUAAGGCAUCUAACUAAAGACCUCCUAUUAGCGAGUAUUCUUGUACGCAUUGUACUCAAUUCCAUAUUAAACAUGCCACGAACAAUCCAAAUAAAUGGACCGAUGAAUCUAUACCAGAAAUAGAUUAUAUCUAUUCAUGUUAUAAUUUAAGAUUUCACUAGGUAAUUUUGAUUGCAUUAUAACUAUAAGCCUUUGAUUUUUUAAUACAUGAAUUGAUUGCGGAAACAUUACAACUAUUUAAUUUGACAAUAUGCUUUGUGAUCUUAUUUUUGUUAAAAAAAAUAAAUUUAAACUCAUAUCAUAAAAUAAUGAAUGCAACUUGAUAAUAUAUAUUACAAUCGCAAAAAUUUAAAUAUUAUUCCAUAAACCGAAGACUUAACAUAAUUAGCUUUAGUAAAAAAUCUACUCUCGAAACACUAUUUCACACGUAAAUAAGCAUUAGGUAAAAAAAAAAAUUGCUUUUGGUUUUUACUGAUUUUUUUUCUACAUGUGUUCGACAAUAUUUUUUUUUUUCUAAGCUAGGAGAUUGGACAGGCAUCAAAAAGAAGCAACGGCAUCCCAACUAGAUGGCACCCCGCAGAACCCCCAUCCUAUACCACCAAUCUCAGAGAAAAUUUUAUUAAAAAAGAGGGAACUUUAAUUAGCUUUUCCCCGAUUCACAUUUCUUCAAUGAACUCAAUUCUUGCAUCCAUUGUUUGUUUUUUCCCAUUAAGCACUUCUGAUUCAUUCCAAAAUAGCUCAUUCAUCAAAAACUAUGCCAAAUCCUGUAAGCAGCUUUCUACAGAAUUUACCAAACUUCAAAUGCGUUUUUCGAAUCCGUUUCUAAUCCGAAUCAUACCAAAUCUAUAUCCAAACUGAAGGGAAUCAAAUAUAGAAAUAAAAAAAUUCAACAAUUAUACAAGUAUGGGUUACACAUCUAAAAUUAAAGCUUAUUAUGAAACUCACCUUAAAUGCAACUUCCAUUGAUGCCAAAAGCUUCAAAGUUGUCUGUCUCUUUUAAAGCUUCUGCUCAAACUUCUUUCAAUUCCUCCCAUCAGUUCUUGCUUCUAAACACCAACAUAAGGUAAAACCAUCAUCAAUAGAUUACAUGCAAGCCAAUUAUCAAAGCUUCUUGAAAUUAAAGCUUCUUGAAAUUCUGGCACGUUAGACUUACGAUGUUAUGUGCGAUGUUUCAACACAAGUUAUACAGAAACAAAUGUUGAAUAAAAUGUUUCGAACACUAAGCUACCACAAGACAAGAAAAAAAAUUCAAAGCAUAAAGUAAAAGGCACAGAGAGUUUGUUAACCCAGUUCGGUGCAACGUCACCUACUCUGGGGGAUACCAAGCCAGGAAGGAAAUCCACUAGUGUAGUUCGUAUUCAAUAGCUCUAAGCAAACUCCUCGUUUGCACUAAUGACCUAGGACCUACCCAUACUGACUUCAACCUAGGAACUUCUAGAUCUGAGAUCCCAUCUCAGUCCCUUACAACUGAUCACAGCCCCUUUGAUACUCAAAUAACAAAUACAAUCAAUAUGAAGUUACCUUCAAACAAAACAACUAAACACCGUACUUCACAGCUUAGGUGCAGUUUACAAACUACCUAACUCUUUGCUUAAAAGCUUCAGAGUAGUGCACAAUUUACAACUCAAACACAGUCCUAAACAUGCAUCAAGAUGAUACACGAAAGGCUCACAUAGACAGACUCAAAACCCUAGAUGAUCUAUUCUUCAAAUGACGGCUUGAAUCAUUCUCUAGGUCUUCCAGUCUUGUUUAAAUACUGAAGCAAUACGAGUCAGUAAACUUGUUGGGCUACAGAACAAUCCAGUGAUCCAUUUCAGGUACAACAGAACCAGAAAAGGAAACUCCUAAUAUGUAGACACAUAAUUAGGAACAUCCUGAUCACCUCCAAACUUUCCUAAGUAGAUAACACAAUCUUAGGAAAUCACAAACGAUCUGAUCCUGUGCUAAAAACACGCAGCUUGGCCAACAAGAAUAAAGGGGUGGAUUCCUUAAAUAAAAUAGCGCGUGCGAAAAACAAGGCAAGGUACAAGUCAACUGAACCAUGCCAUGAUGUUGACACAUCUUGUUCAACAUCUCACAUGAAUAUUUGUUUUAGGCAAAAGUGAAGCCAAUAUACAAAUAUCCAAGAAUCUCCCCCUUUGGCAAAUUUUUGGCUAAAACAAACUAAGGCCAGUCCAAUCAAAGUUGAGAGAUAACACGCAACCUUUUCUUCAAUCAUCACACAUAAUCAACCAUGAAGAAAGGUACACAUACUCAAAUUACCGAUAUAUACCACAAAAUAUAAAUCUUCAGUCACUUCAUAAUCUUCAGAAGUUGGAAGAGGUAUAUCACAGGUCUCAGAAUCUACUUUCAUAAUUUUUCACAAAUAAUCAUCAUAUGAAACAGUAGAUAAGAGAAAUAGGUACCAUACUAUAAAAUCAAAGCCUUGCACCAACGGAAACACAAGGAAAAAUAAAUUCUCAUUAAACAUGCAGAAGCUACCUAGAAUGUUCUAACCUUCCAUAAAACAUUCACAGAUACUGGAAAAAAUAAAUUUCCAUAUACACUUGCAACUGCAGAACAUUCACAGAAUCAAUCCCCCUCAAAGAUGCAACCAUUGAGUGAUUACUGACACAAACACUCCCCCUGAAUACAUGCAUAUAUAAACAGAAGCCUUCGAAGCUGACAGAUAUAACUUCUACUAGCACAUUAUAAGAACAGGCAUGCAUAAAAAAGAACACCAAAUCAGGAGUUCUUCAAACACAGGCACACAUUGCAGAGAUGUGUUCCAACAUCACCUGACACAUUAUCUGCUAAACAACUACCUGCUAAACAUACUCAGGCAUACAGGUACAAACACCCAAAGGUAUGCAGAGAUCAUCAUAGAACAUAGAACCAUACUAGCAUCUUCUUUUACUCCCCCUUUUUAGCCAUAAAAUGUGCUAGAAUAAGAACUUGAAACCAAACAGAGAUUACCAGAUUCUAGUAAGAAGAAGUCUUCAAAUUAAAAGUUGUUCAGAAUCAUAAGAGAACCAAAAAAUAAAAAUGCAGAAAUUAUAUGGUUACAGACCACAACACUUAAAGUGCUCAAAUUAUCCAGGGCAUAGCCCACAAAACACACAAAAGAGAAAAAGAACAGAAAGAAAAAAAAAAUCAUUCUUCUGCCUCAGAGCUGCUCCCAGAUUCUUCCUCUUCACCUUUUUUGGUCAAAUCUUCAUUAGCAUCCUCACCCUCAUCAUCAGGAUCAUCUUCAUCUUCAACUUCCCUUUCACUUUCAGCCUCUUCAAACUCCUUUUCACUCUCUGCCUCUUCAACAGCGCUAUCAACAGCCUUUUUCUCCAUAGCAAGAAUCAUAAGGUCAAUCUGAGUCUUCCUCUCACCCAGGAUCACACUUGUAGCCUUUAAACCAACAAUGAUUUGUUUGUCAGACAUAUUACCUGCAUUAGGAGUAGGCACAGAUGUUCCAACCAGAUCUGGAGCAUGACUGUCUCCAAACAGUUUCUGAUGGAAAGUAAGGGGAAAAUCCCUUUUCAUGGGCAAAUCAGCAGCAGAGAUGAUAUUAGGGUGUUGACUGUUUGACAUCAUCAAUCUUAGCAUGCCUCAUGGUCUGAUCAAAAACAUACCUCCUAAUGCCCAUCUUAGUCUUAGUUCCUACAACAAAAAAAAAUCUAGCCAAACCUGUUGCUAUAUCUGAAGAGUGAGUAGUAGGAACCCAAUUGGCAACACCAAUUCUGUUAAGAAUCGCAUACUUCAAGCUCAGCUUUCCGGAGGAAAUCUUUCCUUUCUUUGGCCAAACUUGCACCUUAUUGGCUGUGAUCUCUUUGCAAAUCUGAUUAUAUGUAGCUUCCACCUCAGCAGCUCCUCCUUCAAUACCUAGAAAAUUAUAGAUGAUGUUGGGGGAGAAGUUGACACAUUCUCCUCUAACGUACACUUUUUGAUAAUUUCUCCUAAGAGGAUUAUCAUAGUCCAUGGGAAUGUUCACCAAGAAUUCUCUAACCAGCUUUUCAUAGCACUCUCCUAACUUGCACACAGUCUUCUCCAGACCAGCCUCUCUGAUUAAACUCAUAACCUCCUCAAUUUUCAACACUUCUUCACUUAAUUCUCUUUCCAAAGCGAGCCUUCUGUGGUAAAUGAAUUUCCACCUCUAAGCAAAGCUUGGAAGAUGAAAGGAUACUUUGUCAAUGGGAACAUCUUCCACAAUCUGCAGAUCUUUCUUCCCAGCAGCUUUCUUGGAUUCUGAGGGAGUGAUGUUUAGCACAUCCAGCUCAGCAUCAUAUUCUGACUCACUUGAAGAGACAACCUUUCUCUUCCUAGAGCUACCAGCACCACUUUUCACCAUCACCUUACUCCAGUUCUUCUUGGGACCAAUACCAGCCGUUUUUGUCUUGCUUUUUGGGGUUUCAUCUACAGUGAUAGUUGUCCUCUUAGAGGAUUGGCUAGUGGCAGGGACAGCUUCCCUUGUUGCUUCUGAGUCUCUUGUUCACACUGUCUCCAAGAGUCUGUACCAGGGGAACAUCAUCCAAUUCAAGAUCAUCGACAUCCACUAUAACACCCUAUUUCUAUUAAAGCGAUAAAACUCGCGAAUAAAGCAUAUAUUCAAUAAAUAGACGCUACGUCAUCAUACAAAAUUCAAAUUCAUCAUGCAAGCAUAAAAAUCUCAACAGUCGCAGCGGAUAUAUAAACCAUAUACUUCGAAGCAUACAUGACAUACAAACAAAAAUACAUCAACAUAAAUGUUCUCCAAGUCCCGACAAAAGGGUAAAUCUCCAACAUGAAUAAAUCCAACAAAUAAUCUAGACCAACAUAACAGACACCUAGAUCAGAGCCUAUCCUAGACCCUACAAAACCGAUACCGGAGAUAGCUCCCGAUAUCCAACCAAGCAUCAAUCAACUCACCGGAGCAACUAAUCCAGCACAGUGUCUACCCAUUCAUACAGACAGGUAGGCGGUCAAAACCACUGGGGUAAGUAUUACAUCAAUCAUAAUCCACAUAACAGUUAAUCAUGAAUAAUUCAAUUCCAAGUACUUAGCAUAAACAAUUAAUUCAAUGUGUGCAUUUACAUAGCAUUUCAAAAUAAUACAACCAAGUAUCCACCAAGCACAUUUAUCAACAAUUCAUAUCAUUCACAAUCUCAUCAUAACUUCAACAAAUAUUCAUUCACAAACUUCAACAAUUAUCAUUCACAUGCAACAAAUCAACUCAUGUUAAUUAUGCAAUGCGCCUAACACCGACGCCUACAUGCAUGUGGUACCAAGCACAACAACGUCUAGGCCGUUACCCCAUGAUGUCAACUGCACAUCAUUUGUAAGAAUACACCUCCUCUUACACACAACUAUGUAAAAGUACACCUCCUUUUACAUUUCACAUAUGACAAUGAUGCAUGGACAUAGCAAAGACCAAAUAAUGCAACUCCACAACUCACAACAACAUAAUGUAAAAGUACACCUCCAAUUACAUUGUACAACUUCAACAACAAUUGCAUUAUCAAACAUUCACAUCCACACAACCAACAUGUCAUAAUUCAAUUAAGAGUCACCACCAAAAUAUCAACACACAUUCAUUAAUCAACUACUUCAUAUAGUUUCACCAAUCCAAUUGUCUCAUAUUCCAAGUAAGAGAACAUACAACAUCUCAUGAUCAUAUCAUAUCAACAUGUCACAAUUCAUUCAUACAUCUUCAUUUAGUCAAAUGAAGCUAGUCACAAAAGGUCAUAAGAUAAUUGACUUAAAGGAAUCUUUUCCGACAAAACCGUAUCAAGUGGCAAACGGCCAACAUCGAUAACUCUCAAAGUUAGGUAACGAUAUAAAGUUUAAAAACUCACCAAACAAUCUUAAUCAAGAGCUUAAGCCGAUUACAAACUAUUAGACAUUAGUUCAAAGACUAGCUUAAGUUCGUAUGAUAAAACCCAAGUUAACAUUUUUCACAUUGCCAUACGAAAUUCACGUUUAACAUGAUUAAGAUGUUUGACCAACAUUACAAGCCUUACCUAAGUCUAUAUGAGCUGUAGGUUUAACUUGUAAUCUCAUUCAUUUCAUAAAAGUUCAAUUCAUCAAAAUCCGAAAUUCCCAAAAAUAUGCAAGUUUCAACCCAAAAUGGAAAAUCCCAAGUUUGAAUGAGCUAAACAUGUUCCAGUAGGUUUAGAGGUUCAAACAGAGAUUAAACAAGUUGAAAGGAUCAUUUUACAAAGCUCGGAUUGACCCCCUAAAUCCCAGAACAAAAAUCAAAAGUGGCUGAAUCUGGGCAGGUUCGCUUAAGCGACCACUUCGCUUAAGCGAAGAAGUUCCAGUAGCUACCUGUAAUGUACACUUACUGAUCGAUUACCGUUCGCUUACCUGUUCGCUAAAGCGAACACCUGGUUUGCUUAAGCGAACAAGUUCCAGUAGCUAUUAGUAAUGUACGCUUACCGGUCGCUCACAGGUUCGCUUAAGCGACAUGUUUCCAGAACUUGCUAUGAUGGUUCGCUUAAGCGAACAGUCAUAGUUCUGCAGAAAAAUAUUACGGGUUUCAACCCCUUUUCACCCAAAACCCCCAAUUUUGAUCUUCCAAUGCCCAAAUGUGUUUCCAGAGGUUGUUUACAGGUCAUUAUAACUAAAUUGAUUCACAAGAACACAACCAACAUGAAAACCAAUGACAUUUGAACCAAUUCACCAAUUUUGCAAAACUACCAACAACAACUCAUUUCUCAUCCUCAAGUCAUGAAUUAUGAAUACCCAAGCCAUGAAUCAUCAACAACAACAUCACUCAACAAUUUGAGCAUAAUUCAACAUAUAUCACUUUCUCAUACUUUGAACAUGAAAUUUCACCAACAACAAUUCAAUUAUCAACAACUUCAUGCAUUUAAACAUAUCAUCAUAAUUGGAGCACGAAUUCUAACAAUUAUGAACAAUUAUUCAAUUAUUCAAUUAAGCACUUAAUCAUACAACAAUUGAAAAUUUACACUAAAAAUGAUUAUGAUUGAAUUCUAACCCCCUUACCUUAAUUAUCACCAAUUCCUAACCCAAGCUUCACUUUAGCUCCUAGGAUCUCUCCAAUUCUUGAAUCUUCAAGCUCUUCUUCUCUCUAAACCUUUUUCCUCUUUUCCUUCACUUUCUCUCUCUACCUCUCUCAAAAUAUCUUAUGUAAUGAAAAAUGAGUGAUAUUUUAUCUUAAGACAAGUCUUAUAUAGUCUAUUUUCCUAAUGGGCUUAACCCUAAACCUUAGUGGACUUAACCCACUCCAACUCAAUUCUAAAAUGUUUCUACACUCACAACGGUAAAAUACUAUUAAUGAUCACUCAACGGUAAAAUACUAGCAACGGUCACUUAAUGGUAAAAUACUAAUUAUUACCCUAGUAACUUAGUAAAAUAAUGGUUCUCACUAAACGCUAAAAAUAAUUCUCACCAAAAUUAGUAAUUUUACCCCUCUAGCACGAAACCCAUGAAAAUGCACCCAGUGAUGAAUAAUCACACACAAGCACAAAUAAACACAAUAAAAUAAUUAAAAAUAAUUCUAACGGAAAUCGGGCUGUUACAUCCACCACUUCUUUAUCACUCUUUUUACCAUCUGAAUCUACUUCUUCAACAUCUUUUUCAAAGUCACCACCAGAUCUACCUCUUUCAUCAGUAUGGGAGUCCUUAACCGAGUUAUCAAGAUUCUCAUCCUCCUCUAGGUCAGUCUGAACACUUGGUUCCUUUUUCUCACUAACAAUAUCUUCCACACCAGCAGGUUUAACAGGUUGGCCCAAGGAUGUGCCAACAUUCGGUCCAACAUCAACUUGAACAUCAGUUUCUUUUGGAGUAUUUUCUAUAGAUUCAUCGGCCCUAGUGUCAACAGCAGGGUUACUCACAUCCAUGUUCUCAUUACUUUCUAUGGCAUCAUUCAAUACUUCUAACCCUAGUUUUCUACCAGAUAUAGGUUCUUUAGAAAUUAGGGUUGAAUCAAGAUUACCUUUUUAAUCCCCAAGGGUUGCAGCAUCCGAAGCCACUUUGGGUGUAUUUCCAUCAUCAUCAGCACUUUGAGAAGUGGAACCUUCCUCGAUAGCUUUAAAAGAAUUCUCCUUUUUGUAGAGAUCCGUCAUGGACAGGGCUACUCUCGAAUCGCCUUUCUUCAGAGUCUUAUUCUUUGGAGAAGGCUUAACAACAUUUUUCUUUUUGGAUUUUAAAGGGGGAACAACGGUGAGAGGUUUAAACUUCUUUGGAACAGAGGAAUCAGUUUCUCGUUGUUCGGUCGUGUUCUUAUCAACAAAAACAGAAGGGUCGUUUUUGAACUUGAUGAUGAUGUGAUGUUGAUGAUAACGUUUGUGAGGAUGAAGCUUUUGAGGAUUGGUUGCAAAAAUAAGGAGGUGAACAUUUUUUAGAAGUUCAGAGAAAUAGAAAGUGAGACAAGGGUUAAGCAAUGUAUGAUUGCGGUUAGUUAGGAGAAGAGAAAUAAUUCGAACCAAAUAGCCUGAAUUAGUGUGCCCCAGUAAACGGUAAGAUACGCAUAAAGUCCUUGCACGCCUUCUUGAAAAAAGAAGAAAAAGCCAACACAAUUCAACCCCCCUUCUUGUGUUUUUCUCACCUUCAAUUGGUAUCAGAGCUUUGAUCUGUUGUCAAAACACUUAACAUUGUAACAGAAAAAGAUCUGAGAAAAACAUGUCUGGUGCGAAACCUGAAUCCAGUACGAGAAAUGCUAUUCCAUAUGAUUAUGGUAGCAACAAGAAAUCUGACUAUGGAAAAGUUCCAAAGUUCAAUGGAGAUCCUGAAGAAUUUUCCUGGUGGAAGACCAACUUCUAUAGUCAUGUCAUGGGUUUAGAUGAAGAUCUAUGGGACAUACUAGAAGAUGGUAUUGGUGACUUAGUCGUUGAUGAAGAAGGAGCUUCUAUUGAUAGAAGAAAACAUACUCCUGCUCAGAAGAAAUUCUACAAGAAGCAUCACACAAUCAGAGGAGCACCUGUCAAAGCUAUACCUAAAGCAGAGUAUAUGAAGAUGAGUGACAAAUCCACUGCUAAGUCAAUGUUUCCUUCUCUUUGUGCUAACUAUGAAGGUAGUAAGAAAGUCAAAGAAGCAAAAGCUCUGAUGCUUGUUCAUCAGUAUGAGUUGUUCAAAAUGAAAGAUGAUGAAAGUAUUGAGCAAAUGUACUCAAGAUUUCAUACUCUAGUUUCUGAACUUUAAAUACUGAAGAAAAGCUAUGUAGCCUCUGAUCAUGUGAGAAAGAUACUUAGAAGCUUACCUGCAAGAUGGAGACCAAAGGUGACUGCUAUUGAGGAAGCUAAAGAUUUAAACACUUUAAGUGUUGAAGAUCUUGUCAGCUCUCUCAAAGUUCAUGAGAUAAGUCUUAAUGAACAUGAACCUUCUAAAAAGAGUAAAUCCAUUGCUCUACCAUCAAAAGGGAAGUCAUCAAAAGCUCUUAAAGUUGUUGAAUAUGAAGAAGAAUCACCCGAUGAAGAUCCUGAUGAAGAUCAUAUAGAGAAGAUGGCUAUGCUUUCCAAUAAGCUUGAGUAUAUGGCAAAGAAGAACAAGAAGUUUCUGAGUAAGAAUGGUGGCUAUAAGAACUCUAAGAAAGAAUAUCAGAAGGGAUGCUUCAACUGUAAGAAGCAUGGACACUUCAUUGUUGAUUGCCCUGAUCUUCAGAAGGAGAAAUCAAAGGACAAGUCAAAGAAAUCAAGCUUCAACACAAGGAAAUUUAGAAAGCAGAUCAAAAAGAGUUUAAUGGCAACCUGAGAAGAUUUAGACAGUAAUUCAGACUUGAAAAGGAAGAUUCUUAAGAAGAUGCUAAAGUAGUUGUUAGGUUAGUGGCUAAUGUGAAUUCAGAAGCAGAUUCUGAAGAUGAAAAUGAGGUAUAUUCUAAAUUUCCCAUAGAAAAAUUGAUUGAGUCUCUUAAAGAACUUCUUACACAUUUUGAAUAUAGAACCAAUGAGUUGAAAGAUUUAAAAGAAAAAUAUGUUGCUUUGAUGAAACAACAAGAAUCAACUCUAUUGGAUCUGAAAGCUUCUGAAGAAGGACUUAGAGGGUUUGACUUCAUUUGUAGAACUUAUGAAGAAAAACUCAAGCAUCUUUGUCAGAAACUACAAGAAAAGUGUAAUGGAAAGUUUUUCAGUAAAGAAGAAAUUGCUCUUGAGGAGUAGAUUAUGUCAGGUAUUGACAGGAGCAAAGUUGCUUCUAUGAUUUAUAGCAUUUACAGAAACAAUGGUAAAGGGAUGGAUUUUCAGAAGGGAAACCAAAUGAAAUCAGUCUUAAAGCCGGUUGUGAAUGCAUCAGGAAGGAUUGAAAACCGUCUUUGUACCUGAAGGUGUAACACCCUAAAACCCACAUAUUAUUUUCUAAAUAAAAAUAUAAUAAUUAAUUAAACAUGCAAGGAUGUCACACAUCUUCUUCAAUUUAAAAAUACUUCAUUUAAAUAAAAACACGUCGAAACGGAAUAAAUUCAAAACAUCAAUGUAAUUGUCACAUCAGUGUAUCGACAUCAGAACUAAAUUCAAAGUCGAAUUUUGAAAACAAAAUCUAAAAUAAAAAGAAUCCCCAAUCCCUAGUGCCACUGAUCAGAGCUUCGACUCAAUAAAUACUCCCAAAAGCGAUAAGAAAAAAAAGAGAAGGCUCCAACGCCAUCCUCCGAGACUCACUGCUACUAAGAUAUUCUUUCUGCAAAUGUACACCACAAGGGUGCAGGCGCCCAACCUGCCACUAGAGGGUGAGAAUAUAUUCAACAUAAGAAAUUCAUAAACAUAUGUAUAGAUCCAGACUAAAGAAUACAUCAAUUAUAUUUAGAAAUGUAUGCAUCAUAAUCAGAUAAUAUUCACAUUUGAAUAUAUAAUUUAAUUUAGUAAAAAUCUAAUAGGCAUCAAUCAACAUCUUAUAAUAACAUGUGAACAUCAACAAUCAUAUAUUCAUAUUUAUUCACAUCAUUUAAUAAUCAUCUUUCAUCAUUUAAUAGAAACAAACAUAUCACCGUCAUUAAAUAAACUCAUCUUCAACUAUAAAUUUAUAUAUAUAUAGAUACUACAUCGUCAAAUAUACUACAUCUUCAAAUAUAUAUUUAUAUAUAGAUACUACAUCGUCAAAUAUACUACAUAUUCAUAUAUGCUUGACAAUGAAUGCAAUGUCCCUAACUCGACUCUAUAUGCAUGUGGUACCAAACCUAUCACCAUUGUCAAAUAUUUGGAUAUCAGAGGUAUGUUACUGAUUUUGUCCACACCAUCGUCAAAUACAACAUUGUCAAAUAUGACUGACCAUGAAUGCAUGAACACCAAACUAAUGACUCGACAAUGCACAUCUUUAUAAAACUCGACAAUUACACAUCUUUAAAUAGCUCAUCAUCAAAUAUUACUAUAUUACACACAUCUUUUAACCACACAUAUUCAAAUAACACAUCUUUAUAGAACACAUCUUUAAAUCACACAUCUUCAAACAUUACAUCUUUAAAUAUCAUAUAAAUUUUAAAAUUCAAAUGUGAUAAAAUCCAAAUAAUUAAAAUCAUAGUAUUCACAUAAAUAAUUAAGAAUGAUUCAAAGUCCAUUAGCAGCGAAGAAAACAGUAGCGACCAAAAAAUAAUAUAGUGAAAGAGAAGAAGCAAAAUUCACACCAAUAUUGAUAUACAUUUAGCAAACCCUAUCGGUAUGAUAAGAAUAAAAAAAAAGUAUAUAUGUAUAUAAUUAUCCAAGAAGCCGAAGUGAACGAAUCCGAAAUUGAGUUAUGUCGUGCAAAAUUUCAUGAAACUUUGAUCAAGAAAUUUAACCAAAUAAAUUAAUAAAAUUGUGAGGAUUUUAUUUUAAUUGAAAAUUGUAGCAUAUAGUCACAUACUAACCGAAUGGGGAUCAUUGAUAAAUUGAUGAAGCAUGCAUAGGAUCAACACCAUGUAAAUAUAAAUAUAUACAUACCAAAAUAUACUGAAUGACAAUUUACGAAAAAUAUGUACAUGCAUAAAUUCGAAUGACAUAAAGGACACAAUUUUCUCAAUUUGAAUUUAACUGAAGAAUCGAACACAUGGAUCACAAAAGUAUGCAUAAAACAAUCAAUCACAAUUUAACAAAAAUCAUCAAAAAAUUAUGAAAACAAACAAAAACCCUUCACAACCCAUAUAUUCAUACAACCCUUAUGGUGAAUAGAGACUCCCCCCUUACCUCUAAUUUUGAGAAAUUGAUAAUUUCAUACGGUAAAAUCUCUCUCUAGGUUCUUCUCGUUAUUCCUCCUUGUCUCUUCUCUCCACAACCCUAGCUAAUUUUUCCGUUGCCGCUUUAUUUCUCUCUUUUUCGGUAAUCCUUUUUCUCUAAUAUUCUUCUCUAUUUAUAAGCUCUAAUUGAGUUUAUUACAAAUAUUUUUAGAUUACUAUAUGUUCUCUAGGUUUGUUGCUAAUCUUUCUGCACCUACACAAUCUUGCUAUUCGCACCUCCCUCUGCUUAAAUCAAUAAAGCACUACUCAGCUCACUAACUACAUCUCUUUUCUACCCAAUUUUACUAAUCCACCUUUAUACGCACUCUACUUUCUUAUUCUAUCUAAAAACUCUAUUUUCUUCUUAAAUAUUAUUUUCUCUCACUCUUUAACCGACUAACCAACACAUCUACAUGCUCCUUACCUAUUCUUCCAAUAAAUACAAAUAUUUAAAUUAAUACUACCUAACAACCAAUACUAAUAAUAGCAAUAAUACUAAUAUUAUCUAAUAAUAAUAUUAAUAAACUAAUAUUAAAAAUCGGGCUGUUACAAAAGGUGCUAAGAGUGAAACUGUUGUUCAGUCAGUACCUGAAGCUACUAGCUCUGAGGCUAAGAUAACUUCAAAGCCAAAGAACUCUAAGUCAAAGGCAAUGAUAACUUCUGAUUCUAAGACUUCAAAGAUUAAGAUUCUGAAGAGAUCAGAACUUGUUCCUCAGAGUCUGAUGAAGUCAGAAGCUGGUAUCUUAAAGUCUAAGUCCUAGAGGAAGAAAACAUUUGUUGCUACUUGGGACUCAGAACCUAGAGGUAUUAAACCUAAAGCAAUGAGUAACCAGAAGCAAUUAAACUCACAGCACAAGGUACAAGAAGUGAUGAGUAAAACUUACAGUACUAACCUGAAAGGACCCAUAAGACAAUGGGUACCUAAAUCUGAAAACGUCAAUAUUGCAGAUAUGUCUAAGAGCAAAAGUAAAGCAAAAAUCAUGGUACCUAGACAGCGGUUGCUCAAGGCAUAUGACAGGAGAGAAGUCUAUGUUCCUCACCCUUACAAUGAAAGAAGGAGGAAAUGUGAAGUUUGGAGGCAGCCAACCUGGCGUGAUUAUUGGUACAGGAACUAUUGGUAACUCCUCUAUCUUAAUUAAUAAUGUGUGGCUGGUAGAUGGUCUUGAACAUAACCUUUUAAUUAUUAGUCAAUUUUGUGAUAAUGAUUAUGAUGUGAUGUUUGGUAAGACCAGCUGUACGGUAAUCAAAAAGGAUGAAAAAUCCAUAAUAUUCAAGGGAAAGAGAGUAGUGAAUGUCUAUAAAAUUAACUUUUAUGAACUGGUUGAUCAGAAGGUAAUUUGCCUUCCUUCAGUGAAUGAUAAGUAAUGGAUGUGGCACAUAAGGUUAGGACAUGCUAAUUGAAGAUUAAUCUCUAAGCUUAGUAAGUUACAACUAGUUAAAGGCUUACCUGACAUUGAUUAUCAUUCAGAUGCACUUUGUGGUGCAUGCUAGAAAGGGAAGAUUUUGAAAUCAUCUUUUAAAACAAAAGACAUUGUCUCAACCUCCAGACCCUUAGAAUUACUUCAUAUUGAUUUAUUUGGACUAGUUAACACUGCAUCCUUAUAUGGAAGUAACUAUGGAUUGGUCAUUGUUGAUGAUUAUAGCAGAUGGACUUGACUAAAAUUCCUAAGAAGUAAGGAUAAUGCAUAUGAUGUAUUCAGUAGAUUCUAAUCUUAAAAAGAAAUGAAAAUUUUAAAAGUCAGAAGUGAUCAUGGUGGUGAAUUUGAAAAUGAGCCAUUUGAACUUUUUUGUGAAAAACAUGGAAUUGUCCAUGAAUUCUCUUCUCCUAGAACUCCACAACAAAAUGGGGUUGUAGAGAGAAAUAGAACUUUACAAGAAAUGGCUAGAACCAUGAUUCAUGAAAACAAUUUGGCUAAACAUUUCUGGGCAGAAGCAGUGAAUACAGCAUGUUAUGCAUAAAAUAAAAUCUACAUCAGACCUAUCUUAGAGAAAACAACAUAUGAACUCUUUAAAGGAAGAAGACUCAAUAUCUCUUACCUUCAUAAAUUUGGAUGUACCUAUUACAUUCUAAAUAACAAGCUCUACCUAAAGAAAUUUGAUGCCAAGGCCCAAAGAGGAAUCUUUUUAGGUUACUCUGAAAGGUCAAAGGCAUACAGAGUGUAUAAUUCAGAUACACUUUGUGUUGAAGAAUCAAUGCACGUAAAAUUUGAUGACAAAGAGCCUGGAAGUGAAACUCUAAAGCAAGAUGAAAGUUUUGCAGAUAUACAGGUCACUGAAGACAUUUCAGAACCUGAUAAGAAAGCUGAAUCUGAAGAAAGUCCAGAAGCUCAACCCACUCUAGAAGUUGAACCAACCUUAGAAGCACAAUAUGAAAAUGCUUCUGAAGAAACUCAAGAUGACUCUCAGCAAGUAGUUCAAUCCAAAAAUACAUUCAAGCACAAGUCUUCACAUCCUAAGGAUUUAAUCAUUGGAAAUAAAGAUAGUCCUAGAAGAACAAAAUCAUACUUCAGACAAGAAGAAUCUAUGAUAGGAUUAUUAUCAGUGAUUGAACCUGCCACAGUUGAUAAAGCACUUUCAGAUGAUGGAUGGAUAUUAGCUAUGCAAGAAAAACUAAAUCAGUUUCAAAGAAAUGAUGUGUGGGAUCUGGUACCCAAACCUCAGUAGAAGAACAUUAUUUGAACAAAAUAGGUAUUCAAAAACAAGUUGAAUGAACAAGGUGAAGUAACCAGAAACAAAGCCAGAAUUGUUGAACAAGGUUACAGUCAACAAGAAGGCAUUGACUACACUGAAACAUUUGCUCCAGUCGCAAGAUUGGAAGCAAUUAGGUUACUUCUAUCUUAUGCAGUAAAUCAUGACAUAAUAUUAUAUCAAAUGGAUGUCAAGAGUGCAUUUCUUAAUGGAGUCAUUGAAGAAGAAAUGUAUGUCAAGCUGGAAGAUUAUAAAGUGAUGAACACUCUAAUGCAUCCAACUAGCACCUUAAGCAAAGAAGAUACUGGAACAAAGGUAGACCAAAAGCUGUAUGGAUGUAUGAUUGGUUCCUUGUUAUACAUCACUGCAUCUAGACCAGAUAUUUUAUUCAGUGUAUGCUUGUGUGCAAGAUUUCAGUCAGAUCCAAGAAAAUCUCAUUUAACUGCUGUUAACAGAAUUUUCAGGUAUUUGAAGGGAACAACUAAUCUUAGACUCCUCUAGGAAAUCCCUAGAUUAUCAGUUGGUUGAAUUUUGUGAUGCUGAUUAUACUGGUGACAGGAUUGAAAGAAAAUAAACCAGUGGAAACUGCCAUUUCCUUGGAGAGAAUUUAAUAUCCUGGACUAGCAAAAGACAAGCAACUAUUGUUAUGUCUACAACAGAAGUAGAAUACAUCUCACCUGCAAGUUGUUGUACACAACUACUUUGGAUGAAACAUCAGUUGGAGGACUAUCUGAUAAAUGCUAACAGUAUUAUGUUCAAAAAGAAAUUUUAGAUAUACAAUUUAUUGAUACUGAACAUCAAUGGACGGAUAUAUUUACUAAGUCUUUAAAUGUUGAAAGAUUUGAUUUUAUAAAGAAAAAUUUGAACAUGCAUUUUGUGUCUGAUUAAAUUUGCUUGCUGUUGAACAAGAAGUUUGGUUCUGAGGUCUGUUCAGAAGCUUUACACGUACAAUAUAGUGUAUACCUUAUAUUGAGAGAGAGAGAGAGAGAGAGAGAGAGAGAGGAGAGAGAGAGAGAGAGAGAGAAGGAGAUGGUUGGGCGAUAUAGGAAGAGAAUGAAAUGGUUUGGUAAUCGGAAGAGAUGGUUGAUCACAAGCGAGUGAGAAAGGAACGAUAACGGUUCUUCUUUCUUUUUUGAGGAAAAUUGUUUUGUAACAGUAGAAAUCUAUUUUUUCUUUUAGAAAUAGGAGCCAAAUUCUUGAAAUUUUGGGAUUGGCGGAAAUGUUUGUAGCCAAAAAUUAUAAAGAAAUAGAUUUUUGUUAUUUUGAAUAAUAAAUAAUGUAAUAAAUGUAUCAUACAGAAGGUUAGACCGUGGGUAAUUAUUGACGACAAAAAGCCGUCUAUAAUUAUUGAUGGCUAAGCCGUGGGUAGCAAUUUCAAAAAAUUCACAUUGAACUUUUACAUGCCUUGGGUAAUCCAUCACUACUCUAAAAAAUUAACCACGGUCUUACGGCCGCGAGUAAUUGUUCGUGGGUAAUGACAGAUUUUUUUCUUGUAGUGAGGGAUGAUAAGAAACAAAACCAAAGCCAUAUGCAGAGGACAGAAGAGUUUCCACAUUAUUACGGCCAGCCAUGGUACAGUUUGAACAGAUUGAAUUGAGUUUAAAAAAAGAAGAGUGAAGCACCAAAGGAGGUAAUAGUGCAUGUCUUUACAUCGAGUGAAUUAGGUUGGAUGAAUUUGCCAACAGGCGUGGGAAAUAGAGGCUGUUCUGGUUUUCCAGAUGGAAGUCCAAAGGCAACAAAAUAAAUUUAUGAUUCCUCACUGUGACAAAGUAACAGGUUUGGGGCACUGUAACAGAGGAUAUUAUUUUAUUACACAUCAUAGAUCGGAAAUAACAACAGUAACAAAAAGUAAAAGGAUAUCAUCACCCCCUACCCUAUCCAAGACAAAAAUACCUAACCAAAUUGUCCAAAAUUCCUCACCUUGGCCAGUGUUUCUCCAGCAUUUUGAAUGGUAAACUGCAGAGUAAGACUCAAGUCACGGAUGGAAGAAAACACAAACUCAACACUAGAAGAAAUAUGUAUUACUUAAAAAUGACCGAUUUAUCCAAAACAUGGAAGGGGAAGUCUAUGAUAGCCUCAUCCUAAGCUUUUACAAAGGAAUCAAGAAGCAUUCAUUUGAUAAUAGACACCUUGCACCACUGUAAGGAAGACGAUAUCGUUGGGGGAGUAUACAUCAUAAGUCAAAAAUAAAAACGUAGACAACAAACAUACAAGAAUAUUAUCUUUCCCACGUCCAUCAGUCCCUAUCGAACAUACCAUCAAAACAAACAGCACCUGAUCAAGAUGUCCAUCCUAGGAAGGGAAGAGUUGCUCCAGAAUGUAGUAUGCUAAACCACUGGGUAAGACUCAAGUUACCCAUAAAGAAACACAAAAACUUCAACACUAUUAUAAACGAAAGGGAAGUACGUUAUAACAAAAAGAACUAAGAGAGAAAGAAAAGUAGCCUGAUUCCUCUAAUCAAGUUGAAGAUCAACAGCAUAACAAAGAGAGGCCCCAACAAGCUAUCCCAACUUCACUAGAAUCAUAAACUUUUGCACUGUCGCAUAUCUAAAACCCAAUGUACCAGAUGAGAAUGUACAGAAAAAUUAUGUUGUGACAAAUAGUCUGUAGGAAAAAGAACUGAGAGAGAAAGAAUAGGAGCUUUAUUAUUCAAACCAAGUCACAGAUCGGAAUAAUAAUGAAGCCCAGCAAGCUGUCCCAACUUCACGAGAAUCAUGUAAGCUUUUGCACUGUCAGAUUCAGAUCAAAAACCAAAUGUCGAUGGUAAGAACUUCACAAUUGUACAUCAAUAAAACUCGGAAGGAAAAAAAUGAACCCAACAAAGUUCGCAAUCCAAGUAGAGCAUUCCCAAAUAAACACGAGGCUUGAUACUAAACAGAAUGUUAUGGUUUCAGAACACAAUAGCAUCAUCUUUCAAUUUACAUGUAAAAACAGUCAGAACCAAAUCAAACCUUUGAAUCAAGAAAUCAGAAAAGUACCAUACAAUACAUGAAGACAAAAAAGGGAGAGAUAACACCAGAAAGAAUCACUUCUUCCUAAUUUACCUUACAUGCAACACGGGAAAAUAAAAAGUCAAGAAAAGUAUGCUUUCAAAAGAUUUGAGAAUUAUUGAAAACCAGAAGAAUUUAGAAGAGAUGACCAAAUCAAAACUCAAGGCUUCAUGCUAUGAAGAAAGAACAUAGUACUUCUACAAACCACUCUGCAGAAAAACAGGUGCACAAUUUUUAUAUGCUUCAUACUCACUGCUGGUACAGAACCACAAAAACUCCGACACUUGCAAGAUUAGUACAGAGAACAGAAGCACUAAUCAUCACAAAUUUCUACCUAAGUUCUUAUCGCAAAAUUAAUCCUAGCAGACAGUCGAAAAUGUAUAUCAAAAUUUAAUUAGUUUGCAGAAGAUAUGUGAUUAAUACAAACCGAUUUCUCCAUUUCAGACGGAAAAAUUAACAAAGUGCAGAGUGAUCGGAGACAUCUGUUGUACAACAAACCAAUGUAAAACAUAGCCUGUGAAAACAGAUGAUUCAUGUACAGAAAACCCACGACAUGACAAACAGUUGUAGAGGAAACCAACAAAAAGAAGGAAGAUAGUUUAAUUUACCAGAAACGUGUGAACUUUGCAUUGUCAGAUUACAUGUCAAAAACCUAAAAUGUAAGAUAACAGCAGUAUGAAGGGAUAAGAAUACUUACGGCUAGACUAUUCACAUAAAGGAAUAAAUCGAGAAGACAAUUUGUAUGCUUGAUCAGGUCACCACGAAACAGAAAUAAACCUAUACACUUAAUAAUACACAAAAUGUGGUUGUUUUAAGAUACAUUACAUUGCAAAAAACAGGUUUUAAUUCACAAUUCCACCAGGGAUGAUUAUCAUGUAUCAAGUUUUACAAAACAUUACCUUUUCCUGAGACUCAAUUGGAAACAUACAAAACAGAAAAUUCAUAUCAGAACGCAAGCUAUGUUUCCAAGUUCCACAAAAUAUUACUGUUACCUACUACUCAAAUAGCAAUACCUUAAACACAAAACAACAUCUGUUGUAACAGAGGAAUAAUAAUAUUUAUUGUAACAGAGGAAUUAGAGAACAACCAAUUGGAACCGAAACAAACUUCAUCAAAAUAAGAACUGCAAACGUCAAGAUACCUAAUAAUCAACCAGAAAGAAUAAGAAAUUGUAUGUUCACAAAUUAUUGCUCCUGCAACACCAAAGAGUAACGAAUCAAGAAAUAUUCACUCUGAGUAGUUAAAGAAAUAUUGAAAACAAAAUGAUUAUAAUAAAUAUCACCAAAUAAAAACGCUAGACUCAAUGCUGCGAAGAAAGUUAUUAGCUUGACAGACCAUGCUGCAAAAAAAACAUGUUCAAAAUUCAAUUUGUAUAACUUGCAAUCACAGGCCAUAAAUUAAAUUAAUAAAGGACUCAUUGAAGAAAAAUCAUUUAUCUAUCAGAUGUCGUUCCCCGUUAUUGUCCGUUGAAUCAAAUGUUCAAGAUAUCAAGACUUCCCUGCUCGCAGUACAACGGAUAAACAGAUCUUCGGUUAUCAAAUAAAGAAUUACAUUGAAAAAUAACACAAAGAUUGAAUAGAUGAAUUUUCUAGAGAUCACCAGGAAAAUACUCAAGGCUCCAUACUCUGAAGUAGGUGAUUAUUUAGACAAACCAGGCUGCAGAAAAAGCAUGUUCACAGUUCAAAUCUUUUCAUGAUCAAAAGCUUAAAUUGGAAACCAUGUAGAAUGAAUCAUUGAAGAAAUUCGAUUUAUCUAUGUGAAGCAAUUCCCCGUUCAUAUCUGUUGUGUCAAGAAUCGAAAAUGUUGUAGUUUUUCAAAUUUCCGCUUUCUGCAAAAUGGUUAAACGCAUAUCUCAAUUAUCUAAUUAUGAAGAAGUAAAACCAAUAGUUGGAAAAUAAACAUAUAAUUAUUGAAAAAAAACGAUCCAUAAAUGAAGAGUAGAGAGAACUGUGAAAUUCA